AGAAAGGGAGAAACGGAAAGAAACAAAGAAGAGGAAAGAGAAAAGAGAGAAAAAAGGAAAGAUAAGAGGAAAGAGAGAAGAGGAAAAAGAAAAGAGGAAAGAGAAAAGAAAGAGAGUCAGGCAGAGAAGAGGAAGAGAAGGAAGAAAGAGGGUGAGUGAGCAGAGAGAAAAUUCAGUGAGCCACACAUAUUGUAAACACUAUUGUAGCCAUAUUAUUUUAUAUAGUGAAAAGUUACUGCUGCUGCUCUUCGAGGACGUAGGCAUAGCCGAACCUCGUUAAAUACUGUGUCUCAUCUACUUUACGUGCAGCUCAAUAUUCGCACAUAUCCCCGUUAUUUUAUAACACGCUAGUGAUUAUGCUCCAUAAUUAUUUUUGGGU
RNAcentral lists this long non-coding RNA (379 nucleotides) under Prunus persica (peach). RNAcentral describes it as "long non-coding RNA (PPER_LNC007421)". The record is from RNAcentral. Lineage: Eukaryota; Viridiplantae; Streptophyta; Magnoliopsida; Rosales; Rosaceae.